Molecule: ribosomal RNA, 449 nt
Filed under: uncultured bacterium
Lineage: Bacteria
Description: bacterial SSU rRNA
Rfam family: Bacterial small subunit ribosomal RNA
Source: RNAcentral
UGGGGAAUAUUGGACAAUGGGGGGAACCCUGAUCCAGCAAUGCCGCGUGUGUGAAGAAGGCCUGAGGGUUGUAAAGCACUUUUAGUGGGGAGGAGGGAAGUUAGGUUAAGAGCUAGACUGACGGACGUUACCCACAGAAACAGCACCGGCUAACUCCGUGCCAGCAGCCGCGGUAAUACGGAGGGUGCAAGCGUUAAUCGGAAUUACUGGGCGUAAAGGGUGCGUAGGUUGUUGAAUAAGUUAGCUGUGAAAUUCCUGGGCUUAACCUGGGCACUGCAGCUAAUACUGUUUAACUAGAGUAUGGGAGAGGGUAGUGGAAUUUCCGGUGUAGCGGUGAAAUGCGUAGAGAUCGGAAGGAACACCAGUGGCGAAGGCGGCUACCUGGCCUAAUACUGACACUGAGGCACGAAAGCGUGGGGAGCAAACAGGAUUAGAUACCCGCGUAGUCC